GGGCGAUUAGCUCAGUGGUAGAGCGCCUGCCUUACAAGCAGGACGUCACUGGUUCAAAUCCAGUAUCGCCCA
Molecule: transfer RNA, 72 nt
Organism: Geminocystis sp. NIES-3708
Lineage: Bacteria; Bacillati; Cyanobacteriota; Cyanophyceae; Chroococcales; Geminocystaceae
Rfam family: tRNA
About the family: Transfer RNA (tRNA) molecules are approximately 80 nucleotides in length. Their secondary structure includes four short double-helical elements and three loops (D, anti-codon, and T loops).
Source: Rfam